RNA transcript from Triticum aestivum (bread wheat), 6193 nucleotides. It is a transcript of the gene named disease resistance protein RGA2-like, with no coding region annotated. Lineage: Eukaryota; Viridiplantae; Streptophyta; Magnoliopsida; Poales; Poaceae. The record is from RefSeq and is a predicted model, not a curated record. The transcript has 5 exons.
AUGGCCAUGGCUUUGGCAAUAUUCAAUGAAUAUGCGGGGGUGCUUUCCAACGUCAAUGCAUGUCGCGAAUUCUUCAGCUGGACUGCAUCAGUUAUAACGGCCACUCGUUCUUCACGGAACACCUCAGAGUUGCCAGGUGAAGACAAGACAGCUGCCCAACAACAGACUGAAGAGGAAAUUGAGCGGCUGAAGGAUGAUCUUUGGAAGCUGGAGACAACAAUGCCCAAGAUGCUUGACCUCAUUGAUCGGGUCGAAUACCAAAGCCAUAAGAAACAAGCGGCUGAUCUCCUCCCGCAUAUCAAGGAUGCAGUCUUCGAAGCGGAGGACCUGCUUGACGAGCUUGAUUAUGAUGCACUCAAGUGGAAAGUUGAGUGCAGCAAGAAUUUGGGGCUAGACCAAUUGCGUGAUACUUGUCUGGAAUUCUACGGCAGUGUCAGAUCUAAUGAUUACAUCAGAAAAGUCAACAGAAUUCAAAAAAAUCUAGAUCAUGUCCAUAAGCAGUCCAUGGAAAUGGGCUUGCACCAAGCACCUCUAAAGUUUGAUAAAUCAGUUAGGCCAGAAACAACUUCCUACUUUAACUGUGAAGAAAAAAUGAUUGGCCGUGAAAAAGAAAUGAAGGAGUUUGUGGGAAAACUAGGAGUUCAUUCACGGAAGAGAGGAAGGACUGAAAGCAAAGCAAGAAUGACCCAGUUGCAUGUGUUUUCCAUUGUUGGGAUGGGAGGGGUUGGAAAGACAACUAUGGCCCAACACAUUUGCAAGGAUACAAAUGUGAAGAAUCACUUUGGCGCCAAAAAUAUAAUUUGGACAUGUGUUUCAGAUGACUUUGACAUAAAACGGUUAACGAAAGACAUUGUAGAGCGCCUGGGAGGAGAUGCUUCAUCUAAUAGUCUGGAAGUUCUUAUGGGUAAAUUAGAAGGCUGUGUCAAGUCCAAAAAGUUCUUACUUGUCCUUGAUGACAUGUGGGAUGAUAUCUUGAAGGAUGAUGGGGUGGAAUGGAAGAGGUUUUGUGCGCCUUUGAAAAAUGGCGUUAAAGGAAGUAGGAUUUUGGUCACCACUAGAUCGCCCGAGGUUGCUAAGCUAGUUGGCCCUAUGAAUAAUUAUGAGUUAAAGGGCUUAAAAGACGGGGUAUUCUUGGAGUUCUUCAAAUUCUGUGCAUUUGGAUCCAGGACUUUGUGCAACAACAUGGAGUCGUUGGAGCGCAUUGGUGAAAUAAUUGUUCCAAAGUUGAAGGGUUCCCCAUUGGCUGCCAAGACUAUUGGACGCUUGCUGAGAAUGGAUCUAAGUACAACACAUUGGGGAAAUAUAAUGGAAAGUGAACUGUGGCGAUUAGAACAAACAGAGACUGACAUUCUGCCAGCGCUUCGACUGAGUUAUAUGUACCUCCCGCAGAAAUUGAAGAGAUGCUUCUCAAUCUGUGCAAUGUUUCCCAAGGAUUACAAAUUUGCGAAGGAUUUUCUAGCUGACAUUUGGAUUGCACUAGGAUAUGUCGAGUCAGCCCAAGAAGCAUCAAUGUGCUUUGAUGCCCUUGCAAAUCGUUCGUUCUUUCAGAAAGCGUCACCACAUAGUGUUAAGUAUGUAAUUCAUGAUCUGAUGCAUGAUACAGCACAACUAGUCUCAAAGAAUGAGUGCUUCAUUAUAAAGCAUGCUAGUGACCUAGAUAAAGUUCCUUCAAACGUCCGUCAUCUGUCAAUAUUCACGAAUGGAGAUGUUCAGUGUUCUGAAUUGAAGAGCAUAUGUAACAAGAAAAAUCUGAGGUCCCUGGUGUGCGAUGAAUCAUACAGCAAAGCAAAAGAUUUUGAGUCUACGAUGGACUGUUGGUUCAAGGAACUAUUGAAAAUCCGCGUAUUUAGUUGUAAACUCUCCAAAGUAAGACAGCUACCUGAGAGCAUGGGCAAUUCAAAGCAUAUGCGUCACCUUUGUUUACUUGGAAGUUCUAAUUUCAGCACAUUUCCUUCAUCAGUUUAUCGUCUGCAUCAUCUCGAAGUUAUAGACCGUGGCAGUUCUGUUAUUGAAAUGUUUCCCCCAGACUUCAGCGAUGCCAUCAGCUUGCGGAAAAUCAAGUCAAAGAAUUUUGCUUAUAACAAGGGCCACUCUGGCAAACUCUCGCUAGAAUGGUGUCCGCAAAGUCCAGAGACGGCGAAGAUGAUGGAAGUAUUGCCUCAUUGGAAUCUCCAUCAUUUGCAUGUAGAGAAUUAUAGAGGUGAAUCUUGUCCUAGCUGGCUCCAGCCCAACCUCCUGCCAAUGCUACGUUCCCUUGAAUUUCAUUGGUGUGAAGUGAAGAGCAUACCAUUCUUUGUCCCGUUAGAUGUGUCACUUGACAGUACAUCACCUUCAGAUAACAUUAAUCGUCUUGAAGAGUUAGUCAUACAGUAUUGUAAGCAAAUCAGUUGGGAAGGCCCGAUGCUCUUGCCUACUUCUCUUAGAAAGCUAACCCUUAUGAAGUACACGUACGAGUACUACAAUGAGUCAUCGGACGAGGAGAAUUAUGCAGAUGAAACGGCGAUGAUGCAGCUCGCGGGCUUAAGAAAAAGAGUGGCAAAAAACUUAGAAGACAAAGUUGGAUGGUCGGCUAAACGAAAGUUGAAGCAGUACGAGCAACCGUCGCUCCUCCUCCAAGAAAGAAAGUUAGGGUUCCUGCCUCUCGCCGGCGCGGCUGCAGGUCCACCUCGUCUCCGGUGGCCCUUGGGCCAUGGAGGCGCGGUGGAUCCUGGCAAGGGUGGCGGGAGGGCUCCGUUUUUAGUCAUUUUUUUUUCUGUCAUGUUAGGGUUUGUGUUCUGCUCAGGAAGGCGAGACGGCGGCGGCUCCCUGAAGAUGGAAUAAAGGUCUCCCCGCCUAGCCCUCGUUCCAGUGGUGCGUCUAGCAUCGUUGGUGGGCAUGUGGAGAUCUCGGACGACGCGGUUGAUCCCAGCGGCUCGUCUAUGCGGCAGCGCGCGGAGCUCGCAUGCGCUGCGAGGCGGACGAGCGUGGGGCUCGUCUCCGUGGUAGCUGGCGCCUGGCGUCCUAAAUCGAACGCCUGGACCAGGCUAAUCACAAUGCCGGAGUGUCCAAUCCAGGCAGACAAAGCUUCGCUUUCUUCUUCAGGACACCAACCAAACACCUUCCAGGCAGAACCUGGGAAGCUCCGGACGAGGCGCAAGACGUCCAUGACGCGAACCAAUCAGGCUUCUGGGAACUUUCCUCGAAAACGUUGGCGUUGGCGGGCAAGGUCGUGGCCGUUGUCGUCUUCUUCCCCUGUCCCAUCGUCCACGUAUCGGGUUGGUCCUCAUCCCAAAGGACUGAUGAAGCUAGCGGCGAAGAUUCGUGUGGCCACCCAUCCAUUCAUUCCUCAUCCUCAAGUGUUAAUGGAACUACCGGUGAAAAUUCAUGUGGCCGCCAAUCCGUUCAUUGACCCCCAGUCGUCUGCACUACACCUAGAGGGGUAGAGACCAGACCACACAGCGCCUGACCCUCCUGGCGGAGCUCCUUCUUCGGGCAACCAAACGCGAGAGGGCUAGAGAAGGGAGAAGCCCGGGUUUCCCCAUUGCCUCCGCUGUGGAGAGGUAUGUUGUCUUGUGCUACUGAAGCAUGUGCUGUGUUAAAUUGUAUACUUCAGGUAGGUGGUUACGAAGUAAUUUAAUGUCAAAAAAUUGUCUUAUAUUAUGGGAGAGUGGGAGACGGAGGAACUAAUUAUUAAACUGGGACCGUGUCUGGACCUAACAUCCUGAAAUUGUGAUCGAGGGUUUCCGUCCUAGGUUUGAUACUUUGAUAUGACCUGCUAGAUCUGGUAUGUCGAAGGACGCAGAUUUUUAGAGCACCUGCAGCCAGGCCCUACUAUCCUGGCUCUCCAAUAUCGCUUUAAGAUCUGUGUGAGACAAUCAUACAUGAAAUUUUCUCUUUUUUGUUUCUCUCAUAUGACAUGUCUUGCACUUCAAACUUUGCAACGCAACAAAACUUACUAAUUAGAAUGUGGGAUAAAAUAUUCAGAAUUUUUUGUCCAAUGUAAAUACUAAAAAUAAGAUUAUUUUUUUAAUUAAACAAAACUUAUUUUGUAUAUUUAUGUUGGACGAAAAAAAUCAAAAAGUUUUAUCCUAGAUUCUAGUUAGAAAACUUUGUUGUUCUGCAAAGGUUUGAACUUGAAGACAUGUUCUAUAUGAGAGAAACAAAAAAGAGAAAUGUACUUGCACGGAUCUUGAUGGAGAAUGGAAGGGUUGAUAAGAGGGGCCUGGGUUCAGGUGCUCCAAAACUUGUUUUCGGUUUAUCGGACCUAACCACUGAAAAAAAUAGCGCGCUAUAGCAUAUUGAGAAUUGUCUCGCUAAAUAUAUCGGUGUAUAAUGUCUCGCUAAUAGCACGCUAUAGCGCGAUAUAGCACGCUAAUAGCAUAUUUUGAGGUCGCCGCUAUUUUGCUGUAGCGCGCUAUUUUUUUCAUUGGACCUAACACGUCUGACUUGUUGGAGAUUUGCAGCAGCUGCUGCUGCUGUGACAUAUGUCGACACAUAUGGUUGUUUGCCUUGCCCCCUUGAUUGCAAACAAACAUAUCUCGGACAGGGCAGCAGCUAGCUACUUCCUUCAGUACAUCUCACGGACGAUGCAUAGAGCCGCUGCCCCCCUACAAAAAUUACAUCCCACAGAUCUACUGGACGGCAGAAACCUGGUUCCCAAACAUACUAUUGUGAAUACUCUGUGGAUGUGGUAGCUUAAAAAAUUGACAUUCUAUUGCGGGCCAUGCAUUUCAAGCAAGAACGAAAUCAAACAUUUGAUGUUCGAUGCCUUUGCCAAGGGGCUUCCUAGAAGAAUCACACUCACACCUCUAAUCCUGGAGGGUGGAUUUUCUGAUAUUUUAUAUUUCAGUAUCUCCUAUUUUUCUGUAGUUUUGUGAUAUAUUUGUCAUGUCAUCAUCUAUUAGGACAUGUAUACAGAGUGAUACCUUGUUGACCAUACAUAUUCUAAAUUUAUUCUUAAUUCUCCAAAAAUAAAGGAGACGGGAAACUUUAAACUGACUUGGCUUAUAUUCUCAUGAACUCUAAUAAUUUGUAUAUGCUAUGUAAGCUCAAUAUUCCAUUUAAAUAAGAUAGAAUGUAAUCAUGAAGAAAAUUUGCGCUACUCUGCGUUUUCAUUAAGGAGUAAUAGUGUUAUUGCCAUUGGGUUUUGCAUGCAUAACCUUUUGUUCAUACGUGACUGCCAAUCCUUGACAUUUAUUCCCCUGCGUGUGUGGAGAAGGAAUCUUCCAUCCCUGGAGGAACUAUAUAUUCACAGAUGUGGCAACCUUACAUCAAUAGUCUCGGAAGCAAGUAGUAGUAGCAGCGGGAGCAGCGGUGGCGUUCAAGGAUUCUCAUCCCUUGCUAAGAUAGAUAUUACAGGUUGCACUCAAUUAUUGAGCUUUGAUGAAUUUCUGAAGCCAGAUUGUCUACCUGCCGUGAAGAUCAUUGACGUUUCCAAUUACCUUUGUGAAGAGUUGAUGUCCCUCUCUGUUGAUAGGCUCGACGGGUUGCAAGAGCUGAAAAUUCAAUCAUGUCUUUUCAAGUUAAAUAUGAUAUUACCAUCCUCUCUUAAGAAGCUCGAUUUGGCUUGCUGUGACGGCAUAGAAUCCAUCAACCUCGCCAAUAGCCUGUUGGGAAGUUCUCCAGUACUUGAGGAACUUAGCAUUAUGUGGUGUCCAGGCCUCAAGUCCAUUGGUGGUGCAGCAGCUGUUGAUAAAAUAAAGAAAGUGAACAUAGUGGGGUGCCCCGAGCUCAUGGAAAUACAACAGCCUCUCUGUCGCUGCCUGGUUGGCACUGCUGAUGAUGAGAUCAGAACUUGGCACGGCAUACACGGGGAACAGGUUCCACCGGGCAUAUAGCGCACAGAGGUGGACGGCGGCGUCUUCGCAGAGGAGAAUGACGGCGGCUUGCGCGAGAACAUGCUGUUGGAGGAGCCCGAGGAUAACAAAUUAAGGUCAAUUUGAUGUUCCAAUGGCUUGCUAUCCUGUAUCAGUAAUACUACAUAGCAGCAGCACAGUUGCUUGCUAUCUGUCAAGGCAGAGUAGAAGUUGAGCCUUGAGUGAUGUCAUUUUGUGUGUACCUGUACUUAUAUUUCUCCACCGAAGCAUGUUUUUCGUGGAGAAAUUAUAAUUCCUGUUCCUAGUCUUGUCCUGGUAGAUCCAUGAAAGACGCAGCACCUGUUCGUCCUUUGCUAAUUCUUUGGUUAUUUAAAUGAAAUGGCAAACUAAAUAUAGUA